ACGCAGCAAAGAUUAAAACAUGGUAAACAUACAAGCCAUUCACAUACAUAACAACAAUAAAAAUUCAAGAUGAAAAUAGAGAAAAGAAGAAAUAAUGGAACUUAAAUUUAAGGUUUUCAAGUAUAAUUACUCCUUCCGAUUACAACUGCCUCCAAGAUCUCGAUCCAAACCUCAACAAAACAAACAAACCAACCUUGAUCUGCCCUUUUUUGAUUUUUUCACAAAUCUAAACCCAUUAAAUCAUGAAGUAAUGAGAAACCAUUCUAGAUUUUGUAUGUAACAUUACUGCUUAAUUUGUUUUUCAUCAGAUUUCAUUAGAGCUGGGGCUGGUUGGGUUGGUUUUGACUGUUUUCCAGUGGAUUUCCAUCAGAGUUGAUUGAAUUUUUGUCCAAAGCUUCUCGUUUUGCAUGUUUUCACUAAAUUUUUACCGGAUCUGGUAGGAUUUUUGGUUAGAUGGGUUUGUUUUCAGGUGUUUUCAUUGUUGUUUUAAUGUUUUCAAUCAACUUUUGAUAGUAACAGCAACACACGAUAAUUGGGUUACUCUCCGAUUGAAGAUUCCAGCGAUAAUUUUACCGAAAAACUUCACCGAUGACCAUUUUCUCCCUUUUUCCACUCUUUCAUGUGCACAAUCAUGAUUUCUCUCCUUCACCUUUUUCCUUUUAUGUUUUCUCUAUUGGUUGAUCAUGGAUUUUGUAAAACCAUUAUUGUUCUCUUCUCGUCCCUUUAUUUUUCUCUUUUCUUUUACUGUUUUUAUCCUCUCCAAAUUUUGCUCUCUGUGUGUGGAGUUCCUUCUCAUAUAACUAUGUGUGAGUAUAUACUAUGAAUUGAAAUGGAAAAUUAUAUAAGGGGGAUUAUUUCCAGUUUAUGAGUGUGUGUAUAUUCUUACUGCUUUACCC
RNAcentral lists this long non-coding RNA (896 nucleotides) under Capsicum annuum. RNAcentral's name for it is "long non-coding RNA (CANN_LNC005036)". Lineage: Eukaryota; Viridiplantae; Streptophyta; Magnoliopsida; Solanales; Solanaceae. The record is from RNAcentral.